Molecule: ribosomal RNA, 250 nt
Filed under: uncultured bacterium
Lineage: Bacteria
Description: partial 16S ribosomal RNA
Rfam family: Bacterial small subunit ribosomal RNA
Source: RNAcentral
UACGGAGGGCGCAAGCGUUGUUCGGAAUCACUGGGCGUAAAGCGCGUGUAGGCGGCUUGGUAAGUCGGGUGUGAAAGCCCGGAGCUCAACUCCGGAACUGCACUCGAAACUGCCUCGCUCGAGUCCCGGAGAGGGUGGUGGAAUUCCCGGUGUAGAGGUGAAAUUCGUAGAUAUCGGGAGGAACACCAGUGGCGAAGGCGGCCACCUGGACGGUGACUGACGCUGAGACGCGAAAGCGUGGGGAGCAAAC